ACGGGAGGCAGCAGUGGGGAAUAUUGCACAAUGGGCGCAAGCCUGAUGCAGCCAUGCCGCGUGUGUGAAGAAGGCCUUCGGGUUGUAAAGCACUUUCAGUCGUGAGGAAGGUGGUAGUGUUAAUAGCRCUAUCAUUUGACGUUAGCGACAGAAGAAGCACCGGCUAACUCCGUGCCAGCAGCCGCGGUAAUACGGAGGGUGCGAGCGUUAAUCGGAAUUACUGGGCGUAAAGCGCAUGCAGGUGGUUUGUUAAGUCAGAUGUGAAAGCCCGGGGCUCAACCUCGGAACUGCAUUUGAAACUGGCAGACUAGAGUACUGUAGAGGGGGGGUAGAAUUUCAGGUGUAGCGGUGAAAUGCGUAGAGAUCUGAAGGAAUACCGGUGGCGAAGGCGGCCCCCUGGACAGAUACUGACACUCAGAUGCGAAAGCGUGGGGAGCAAACAGGAUUAGAUACCCUGGUAGUCCACGCUGUAAACGAUGUCUACUUGGAGGUUGUGGCCUUGAGCCGUGGCUUUCGGAGCUAACGCGUUAAGUAGACCGCCUGGGGAGUACGGUCGCAAGAUUAAAACUCAAAUGAA
RNAcentral lists this ribosomal RNA (577 nucleotides) under Vibrio sp. 03_296. Its description in RNAcentral is "bacterial SSU rRNA". It matches the Rfam family "Bacterial small subunit ribosomal RNA", at positions 341 to 909 of the family's 1533-position model. The record is from RNAcentral. Lineage: Bacteria; Pseudomonadati; Pseudomonadota; Gammaproteobacteria; Vibrionales; Vibrionaceae.